GCUAAGAAUAUUCCGCAAUGGACGAAAGUCUGACGGAGCGACGCCGCGUGGAUGAUGAAGGCCGAAAGGUUGUAAAGUCCUUUUGCUGGGGAAGAAUAAGCGUGGGAGGGAAUGCCCGCGUGAUGACAUGAACCGGCGAAUAAGCCCCGGCUAACUACGUGCCAGCAGCCGCGGUAACACGUAGGGGGCAAGCGUUGUUCGGAAUUACUGGGCGUAAAGGGCAUGUAGGCGGCCUUGUAAGCUUGGCGUGAAAGUCCACGGCUUAACCGUGGGAUUACGUUGAGAACUGCGAGGCUUGAGUGACGGAGAGGGAGCUAGAAUUCCUGGUGUAGGGGUGGAAUCUGUAGAUAUCAGGAAGAAUACCAAUGGCGAAGGCAAGCUCCUGGCCGAUGACUGACGCUGAGGUGCGAAAGUGUGGGGAUCAAACAGGAUUAGAAACCCUGGUAGUCC
Molecule: ribosomal RNA, 450 nt
Filed under: uncultured bacterium
Lineage: Bacteria
Description: partial 16S ribosomal RNA
Rfam family: Bacterial small subunit ribosomal RNA
Source: RNAcentral